GCCGGGAUGGCGGAACUGGUAGACGCAUGGGACUUAAAAUCCCUGGGGCCUGGGGCCCGUGCGGGUUCGAGUCCCGCUCUCGGCA
Molecule: transfer RNA, 85 nt
Filed under: Thermanaerovibrio acidaminovorans DSM 6589
Lineage: Bacteria; Thermotogati; Synergistota; Synergistia; Synergistales; Synergistaceae
Rfam family: tRNA
About the family: Transfer RNA (tRNA) molecules are approximately 80 nucleotides in length. Their secondary structure includes four short double-helical elements and three loops (D, anti-codon, and T loops).
Source: Rfam by way of RNAcentral